Molecule: long non-coding RNA, 682 nt
Organism: Mercurialis annua (annual mercury)
Lineage: Eukaryota; Viridiplantae; Streptophyta; Magnoliopsida; Malpighiales; Euphorbiaceae
Exons: 3
Source: RefSeq, a predicted model, not a curated record
UUUUUGCUCUCCUAUUUAAAGUCGUCUCUCACCUUAGUUAUUCCCCUAAAAAAAACGACAAACCCUAGCCGUCAUUCAUCAUAAAUAAAAAAUGCACUGAAUUCAUUCGUCAAAGUUAUCUUCUUUAACUCUGAAAUUUGCAUCGAUUGGAGAACCGUCUUAUCUCAGACUUAUCCCUCUUCAAUCCCAAAGCUUCGAAAUCGAAAUUGACCCGUCGACUGCUCGUGUUUCGGAGUCUACACAGGAUUAGCUGUUUGCCAAGAUUCACGUGGAUAAGCAAGCAGUGAGUUUGUAGUGCUAUUUACCGCUUUAUUAAGUACCGCAUUUUAUUUUAGUAUUAUAAAUGCUUUUAAACUGUUUUAAGCGAUUAUGGAUCUGGAUUGGAACGAGCUACUCGAUAGGCUUGUAUCGAGACUGUGUGCACCGGUAAGUACUCUGGGAAUCGGCAGACUAAAGUCUUGCUUACGCUGGUAUAUAAUUUGACGAGGAUUUGUUCCCGUCCACUCUGGGUUUAUUUUUCGGUAUGAUAUGUCAUACUCACGCUGGGAUCAUUUCAAUACUGUAUUUCCAUAAUCAUACUAUAUUAGUAUAAAAGGUUUUGAUUUAAGGGUUUUAAACUUAAUAAAUGUAAAUAGUAUUGCGAACUCAUCUCAGUAUAUCUGACCCCGUUGUUUUCCCAAUU